This 74-nucleotide transfer RNA is filed under the name Staphylococcus aureus. RNAcentral describes it as "tRNA-Pro". It matches the Rfam family "tRNA". Rfam says of the family: Transfer RNA (tRNA) molecules are approximately 80 nucleotides in length. The record is from RNAcentral. Lineage: Bacteria; Bacillati; Bacillota; Bacilli; Caryophanales; Staphylococcaceae.
CGGGAAGUAGCUCAGCUUGGUAGAGCCCUUGGUUUGGGACCAAGGGGUCGCAGGUUCGAAUCCUGUCUUCCCGA